Molecule: non-coding RNA, 45 nt
Organism: Lingula anatina
Lineage: Eukaryota; Metazoa; Brachiopoda; Lingulata; Lingulida; Lingulidae
Source: Rfam
AGAGAGGCUCUUUUUAGAGCCACUCACUUUUAAAUGAUAUAUUUA